CUCUGUGUAUUCCAUUUAACUUGAGUUGGAGAUUGAAAUUUCUCUUGAAACUCAAAAAUAAUGAGCUGGACCGAUGCCAGAGCACAGCAAGAUUUGAGUCAAAUCGAAAUUUGACGUUGUCCUGUUGUACGAUAUUCAAAUGAUCCAUGCUAUAUUUAAAGCUGCAGGUCUGUGUUCAAGUUGCCACAUUUGUUAUUUUGUAUUUGAUUAAUCCCCUUUUUAUAUUAAUGCGGGCAAAAAAAAGUCAUGUUUGCUUGUCGGGCUUAAUUUUUCUCAGAUGGAUUAUUUCAUGUUGAAUUAAGUAAAUCUAAUCUGACAUAUCAGAUAACCUUGCAAAAAAAAAAUUAAAAACUGGAUUUGUGA
This is a long non-coding RNA of Chiloscyllium plagiosum (whitespotted bambooshark), 363 nucleotides long. RefSeq lists it as uncharacterized. Lineage: Eukaryota; Metazoa; Chordata; Chondrichthyes; Orectolobiformes; Hemiscylliidae. The record is from RefSeq and is a predicted model, not a curated record.